RNAcentral lists this ribosomal RNA (468 nucleotides) under uncultured bacterium. Its description in RNAcentral is "partial 16S ribosomal RNA". It matches the Rfam family "Bacterial small subunit ribosomal RNA", at positions 28 to 507 of the family's 1533-position model. The record is from RNAcentral.
GACGAACGCUGGCGGCGUGCUUAACACAUGCAAGUCGAACGGAAAGACCCUGCUUUUGUGGGGCGCUCGAGUGGCGAACGGGUGAGUAACACGUGAGUAACCUGCCCUUGACUUUGGGAUAACUUCAGGAAACUGGGGCUAAUACCGGAUAGGAGCUCCUGCUGCAUGGUGUGGGUUGGAAAGUUUCGGCGGUUGGGGAUGGACUCGCGGCUUAUCAGCUUGUUGGUGGGGUAGUGGCUUACCAAGGCUUUGACGGGUAGCCUGCCUGAGAGGGUGAACGGGCACAUUGGGACUGAGAUACGGACCAGACUGCUACGGGAGGCAGCAGUGGGGAGUAUUGCACAAUGGGCGGAAGCCUGAUGCAGCAACGCCGCGUGCGGGAUGACGGCCUUCGGGUUGUAAACCGCUUUGGCCUGUGACGAAGAGUGAGUGACGGUAAUGGGUAAAGAAGCAACGGCUAACUACGUG